GACGGAGGAGGCUAGCGUUGUUCGGAAUUACUGGGCGUAAAGCGUGCGCAGGUUGUAAGUUCAGUCUGAUGUGAAAGCCCGGGGCUCAACCUCGGAUGUGCAUUAGAUACUGGCUUGCUGGAGGUUGGAAGAGGAGAGUGGAAUUCCCAGUGUAGAGGUGAAAUUCGUAGAUAUUGGGAAGAACACCAGUGGCGAAGGCGGCUCUCUGGUCCACACCUGACACUCAUGCACGAAAGCGUGGGGAGCAAAC
Molecule: ribosomal RNA, 250 nt
Filed under: uncultured bacterium
Lineage: Bacteria
Description: partial 16S ribosomal RNA
Rfam family: Bacterial small subunit ribosomal RNA
Source: RNAcentral